RNAcentral lists this ribosomal RNA (253 nucleotides) under uncultured bacterium. RNAcentral's name for it is "partial 16S ribosomal RNA". It matches the Rfam family "Bacterial small subunit ribosomal RNA", at positions 524 to 776 of the family's 1533-position model. The record is from RNAcentral.
UACGAAGGGGGCUAGCGUUGCUCGGAAUCACUGGGCGUAAAGGGUGCGUAGGCGGGUUUUUAAGUCAGAGGGGAAAUCCUGGAGCUCAACUCCAGAACUGCCUUUGAUACUGAAAGUCUUGAGUAUGGGAGAGGUGAGUGGAACUGCGAGUGUAGAGGUGAAAUUCGUAGAUAUUCGCAAGAACACCAGUGGCGAAGGCGGCUCACUGGCCCAUUACUGACGCUGAGGCACGAAAGCGUGGGGAGCAAACAGG